This 468-nucleotide ribosomal RNA is filed under the name uncultured bacterium. RNAcentral's name for it is "partial 16S ribosomal RNA". It matches the Rfam family "Bacterial small subunit ribosomal RNA", at positions 28 to 507 of the family's 1533-position model. The record is from RNAcentral.
GACGAACGCUGGCGGCGUGCUUAACACAUGCAAGUCGAACGGCAAGGCCCUGCUUUUGUGGUGUGCUCGAGUGGCGAACGGGUGAGUAACACGUGAGUAACCUGCCCUUGACUUUGGGAUAACUUCAGGAAACUGGGGCUAAUACCGGAUAGGAGCUCCUGCUGCAUGGUGGGGGUUGGAAAGUUUCGGCGGUGGGGGAUGGAUUCGCGGCUUAUCAGCUUGUUGGUGGGGUAGUGGCUUACCAAGGCUUUGACGGGUAGCCGGCCUGAGAGGGUGACCGGCCACAUUGGGACUGAGAUACGGCCCAGACUCCUACGGGAGGCAGCAGUGGGGAAUAUUGCACAAUGGGCGGAAGCCUGAUGCAGCAACGCCGCGUGCGGGAUGACGGCCUUCGGGUUGUAAACCGCUUUCGCCUGUGACGAAGCGUGAGUGACGGUAAUGGGUAAAGAAGCACCGGCUAACUACGUG